Molecule: ribosomal RNA, 301 nt
Filed under: uncultured bacterium
Lineage: Bacteria
Description: partial 16S ribosomal RNA
Rfam family: Bacterial small subunit ribosomal RNA
Source: RNAcentral
CAGCCGCCACGGGAAUACGAGGGGGGCAAGCGUUGUUCGGAAUUAUUGGGCGUAAAGGGUGCGUAGGCGGUUUGACAAGUCAUCUGUGAAAUCUAUGGGCUCAACCCAUAGUCUGCAGGCGAAACUGUCGGGCUUGAGUAUGGGAGAGGUGAGUGGUAUUUCCGGUGUAGCGGUGAAAUGCGUAGAUAUCGGAAGGAACACCUGUGGCGAAAGCGGCUCACUGGACCAUAACUGACGCUGAGGCACGAAAGCUAGGGGAGCAAACAGGAUUAGAUACCCCAGUAGUCCCUGUCUCUUAUAA